RNAcentral lists this ribosomal RNA (363 nucleotides) under Streptomyces sp. SID8499. Its description in RNAcentral is "partial 23S ribosomal RNA". It matches the Rfam family "Bacterial large subunit ribosomal RNA", at positions 2569 to 2925 of the family's 2925-position model. The record is from RNAcentral. Lineage: Bacteria; Bacillati; Actinomycetota; Actinomycetes; Kitasatosporales; Streptomycetaceae.
GGGUUGGGCUGUUCGCCCAUUAAAGCGGUACGCGAGCUGGGUUUAGAACGUCGUGAGACAGUUCGGUCCCUAUCCGCUGUGCGCGUAGGAGUCUUGAGAAGGGCUGUCCCUAGUACGAGAGGACCGGGACGGACGAACCUCUGGUGUGCCAGUUGUUCUGCCAAGGGCAUGGCUGGUUGGCUACGUUCGGGAGGGAUAACCGCUGAAAGCAUCUAAGCGGGAAGCCUGCUUCGAGAUGAGGACUCCCACCCACUUGAUGGGGUAAGGCUCCCAGUAGACGACUGGGUUGAUAGGCCGGAUCUGGAAGCACGGUAACGUGUGGAGGUGACCGGUACUAAUAGGCCGAGGGCUUGUCCUCAGUUG